This 2927-nucleotide ribosomal RNA is filed under the name Escherichia coli. RNAcentral describes it as "partial 23S ribosomal RNA". It matches the Rfam family "Bacterial large subunit ribosomal RNA". Lineage: Bacteria; Pseudomonadati; Pseudomonadota; Gammaproteobacteria; Enterobacterales; Enterobacteriaceae. The record is from RNAcentral.
GGGUUGUGAGGUUAAGCGACUAAGCGUACACGGUGGAUGCCCUGGCAGUCAGAGGCGAUGAAGGACGUGCUAAUCUGCGAUAAGCGUCGGUAAGGUGAUAUGAACCGUUAUAACCGGCGAUUUCCGAAUGGGGAAACCCAGUGUGUUUCGACACACUAUCAUUAACUGAAUCCAUAGGUUAAUGAGGCGAACCGGGGGAACUGAAACAUCUAAGUACCCCGAGGAAAAGAAAUCAACCGAGAUUCCCCCAGUAGCGGCGAGCGAACGGGGAGCAGCCCAGAGCCUGAAUCAGUGUGUGUGUUAGUGGAAGCGUCUGGAAAGGCGCGCGAUACAGGGUGACAGCCCCGUACACAAAAAUGCACAUGCUGUGAGCUCGAUGAGUAGGGCGGGACACGUGGUAUCCUGUCUGAAUAUGGGGGGACCAUCCUCCAAGGCUAAAUACUCCUGACUGACCGAUAGUGAACCAGUACCGUGAGGGAAAGGCGAAAAGAACCCCGGCGAGGGGAGUGAAAAAGAACCUGAAACCGUGUACGUACAAGCAGUGGGAGCACAGAGCAAUCUGUGUGACUGCGUACCUUUUGUAUAAUGGGUCAGCGACUUAUAUUCUGUAGCAAGGUUAACCGAAUAGGGGAGCCGAAGGGAAACCGAGUCUUAACUGGGCGUUAAGUUGCAGGGUAUAGACCCGAAACCCGGUGAUCUAGCCAUGGGCAGGUUGAAGGUUGGGUAACACUAACUGGAGGACCGAACCGACUAAUGUUGAAAAAUUAGCGGAUGACUUGUGGCUGGGGGUGAAAGGCCAAUCAAACCGGGAGAUAGCUGGUUCUCCCCGAAAGCUAUUUAGGUAGCGCCUCGUGAAUUCAUCUCCGGGGGUAGAGCACUGUUUCGGCAAGGGGGUCAUCCCGACUUACCAACCCGAUGCAAACUGCGAAUACCGGAGAAUGUUAUCACGGGAGACACACGGCGGGUGCUAACGUCCGUCGUGAAGAGGGAAACAACCCAGACCGCCAGCUAAGGUCCCAAAGUCAUGGUUAAGUGGGAAACGAUGUGGGAAGGCCCAGACAGCCAGGAUGUUGGCUUAGAAGCAGCCAUCAUUUAAAGAAAGCGUAAUAGCUCACUGGUCGAGUCGGCCUGCGCGGAAGAUGUAACGGGGCUAAACCAUGCACCGAAGCUGCGGCAGCGACGCUUAUGCGUUGUUGGGUAGGGGAGCGUUCUGUAAGCCUGUGAAGGUGUACUGUGAGGUAUGCUGGAGGUAUCAGAAGUGCGAAUGCUGACAUAAGUAACGAUAAAGCGGGUGAAAAGCCCGCUCGCCGGAAGACCAAGGGUUCCUGUCCAACGUUAAUCGGGGCAGGGUGAGUCGACCCCUAAGGCGAGGCCGAAAGGCGUAGUCGAUGGGAAACAGGUUAAUAUUCCUGUACUUGGUGUUACUGCGAAGGGGGGACGGAGAAGGCUAUGUUGGCCGGGCGACGGUUGUCCCGGUUUAAGCGUGUAGGCUGGUUUUCCAGGCAAAUCCGGAAAACUAAGGCUGAGGCGUGAUGACGAGGCACUACGGUGCUGAAGCAACAAAUGCCCUGCUUCCAGGAAAAGCCUCUAAGCAUCAGGUAACAUCAAAUCGUACCCCAAACCGACACAGGUGGUCAGGUAGAGAAUACCAAGGCGCUUGAGAGAACUCGGGUGAAGGAACUAGGCAAAAUGGUGCCGUAACUUCGGGAGAAGGCACGCUGAUAUGUAGGUGAAGUCCCUCGCGGAUGGAGCUGAAAUCAGUCGAAGAUACCAGCUGGCUGCAACUGUUUAUUAAAAACACAGCACUGUGCAAACACGAAAGUGGACGUAUACGGUGUGACGCCUGCCCGGUGCCGGAAGGUUAAUUGAUGGGGUUAGCGCAAGCGAAGCUCUUGAUCGAAGCCCCGGUAAACGGCGGCCGUAACUAUAACGGUCCUAAGGUAGCGAAAUUCCUUGUCGGGUAAGUUCCGACCUGCACGAAUGGCGUAAUGAUGGCCAGGCUGUCUCCACCCGAGACUCAGUGAAAUUGAACUCGCUGUGAAGAUGCAGUGUACCCGCGGCAAGACGGAAAGACCCCGUGAACCUUUACUAUAGCUUGACACUGAACAUUGAGCCUUGAUGUGUAGGAUAGGUGGGAGGCUUGGAAGUGUGGACGCCAGUCUGCAUGGAGCCGACCUUGAAAUACCACCCUUUAAUGUUUGAUGUUCUAACGUUGACCCGUAAUCCGGGUUGCGGACAGUGUCUGGUGGGUAGUUUGACUGGGGCGGUCUCCUCCUAAAGAGUAACGGAGGAGCACGAAGGUUGGCUAAUCCUGGUCGGACAUCAGGAGGUUAGUGCAAUGGCAUAAGCCAGCUUGACUGCGAGCGUGACGGCGCGAGCAGGUGCGAAAGCAGGUCAUAGUGAUCCGGUGGUUCUGAAUGGAAGGGCCAUCGCUCAACGGAUAAAAGGUACUCCGGGGAUAACAGGCUGAUACCGCCCAAGAGUUCAUAUCGACGGCGGUGUUUGGCACCUCGAUGUCGGCUCAUCACAUCCUGGGGCUGAAGUAGGUCCCAAGGGUAUGGCUGUUCGCCAUUUAAAGUGGUACGCGAGCUGGGUUUAGAACGUCGUGAGACAGUUCGGUCCCUAUCUGCCGUGGGCGCUGGAGAACUGAGGGGGGCUGCUCCUAGUACGAGAGGACCGGAGUGGACGCAUCACUGGUGUUCGGGUUGUCAUGCCAAUGGCACUGCCCGGUAGCUAAAUGCGGAAGAGAUAAGUGCUGAAAGCAUCUAAGCACGAAACUUGCCCCGAGAUGAGUUCUCCCUGACUCCUUGAGAGUCCUGAAGGAACGUUGAAGACGACGACGUUGAUAGGCCGGGUGUGUAAGCGCAGCGAUGCGUUGAGCUAACCGGUACUAAUGAACCGUGAGGCUUAACCUUACAACGCCGAAG